CUGGGUUGGAUUUGCUAAGCAGUUUUCCAUUUAUGACUGAUGAGAAAACUGUGGGCCUGAUGUUUGAACACGGACCUUACUAGGGUGAUUCAUGCCUUUGCUGGCUUCCCAAACACUUCCAGACAGAGACAAGCACAAUGUUUUCAUGAGAGAGAAAAGUGCAAUGCUGUUUGUUGAAUGGAAUUUUCUUCCUGGGUGCCCUGUUUGGGAAGUGGGUUUUCUCAAACACAGGGUCCCUGUGGCUAUCCUUAGCUAGCAUUUGAGUUCCAGCUAGGGUGGAAAACACUGCGUCAUAACAACCUAAAUAUCAGGCAUCUGCUGUCUCCGUGCCCCAAGCCAUGUCACUUGCAAUCAUUUGAAGAGUGCAGUAUCAACUCAGCUAGAGAGCUGCAAACAUACUUGGUGAAAGGGUUCUCUGCCCUGGAAUGUACUUUCCCACUUGAGCUCUAAUAGCCUGGAUUUCAUGACCUCCAGGUCACCCCGUAGGGUCCAUCUGCUUUCCCAGGCUCUGAAGGGGGAGGAGAAAUUUGGGAAAGUAUAAGGCUACUACUAUAAGAAAUGUUUAGUUGUACGAUGGCAGGAAGAGGUUUUGCCUUGAGAUGUUGAUUCGGCGGGUACAAACUGUACCAAUAUUCUGUAAAUCUACCCAGAAAGCAGAAUGGGAAACUCUUACUAAGCUAAAGAAACAAACAUUUCUUCACUUUGUCUGUGGGACAUAAGAUAGAGCAUUUUUAUAACCUGUGCAAGCCUCAGGAAUACUACCACUCGCUAAGCAAAGGAGGUGUACUCUUCUUCGCUGGCAGAGUUGCCCCCAGCCCAUCCAUGCUCCUGCCUCCCAUUCUCCGUCCCCUCCUUCAGCACAGACCUCAGGUGCAUGCAGAGGCCUCCAGGAGCCAGCAGUGCCAGCCCUUUCCCACUCCAGAGUCAGCGUCCCUUUGCACUGUCAGAAAGACAUAAACCAAACCAAGGGAACCGAAGCGCACAGAUCAAGGACCUUCACGAAGAAGGAAGAGGUACACUUUGUGCUAGAGAGAGCUUGAAUAAAAGAAGUGCCACAAAGACAGAAAUAAAAUUUAAAAAGCAGCACGGGUUUGCUUUUAUAUAUUUCAGAUAUUCAAACUGGCACACACCAAAAAAAGUGAGUUUUGCUUUCAUGGACUUUGGGGGACUUUUGUCUAAGCAAAGACUAACACUUUUUUCUGGUUUUAAACAAAGAAGAGGACGUUUCUCUUCCUCCUGA
Molecule: long non-coding RNA, 1240 nt
Filed under: Struthio camelus australis
Lineage: Eukaryota; Metazoa; Chordata; Aves; Struthioniformes; Struthionidae
Description: lncRNA (ENSSCUG00000003425.1)
Source: RNAcentral